CCUACGGGAGGCAGCAGUGGGGGAUAUUGCACAAUGGGGGAAACCCUGAUGCAGCGACGCCGCGUGGGCGAUGAAGUAUUUCGGUAUGUAAAGCCCUAUCAGCAGGGAAGAAGAAAUGACGGUACCUGAGUAAGAAGCACCGGCUAAAUAAGUGCCAGCAGCCGCGGUAAUACGUAGGGUGCAAGCGUUAUCCGGAUUUGCUGGGUGGAAAGGGAGCGCAGGCGGGAGGGCAAGCCUGAUGGGAAAGCCCGGGGCCCAACCGCGGGACUGCAUUGGGAACUACCGGGCUGGAGUGCCGGAGAGGUAGGCGGAAUUCCUAGUGUAGCGGUGAAAUGCGUAGAUAUUAGGAGGAACACCAGUGGCGAAGGCGGCCUACUGGACGGUGACUGACGCUGAGGCUCGAAAGCGUGGGGAGCAAACAGGAUUAGAUACCCUAGUAGUC
Molecule: ribosomal RNA, 442 nt
Filed under: uncultured bacterium
Lineage: Bacteria
Description: partial 16S ribosomal RNA
Rfam family: Bacterial small subunit ribosomal RNA
Source: RNAcentral